This 251-nucleotide ribosomal RNA is filed under the name uncultured prokaryote. RNAcentral describes it as "partial 16S rRNA". It matches the Rfam family "Bacterial small subunit ribosomal RNA", at positions 525 to 775 of the family's 1533-position model. The record is from RNAcentral.
ACGUAGGGGGCAAGCGUUGUUCGGAAUUACUGGGCGUAAAGGGCAUGUAGGCGGUUUAGUAAGCUUGGCGUGAAAGACCACGGCUUAACUGUGGGGUUGCGUUGAGAACUGCUGAACUUGAGUUACGGAGAGGGAGCUAGAAUUCCUGGUGUAGAGGUGUAAUGUGUAGAGAUCAGGAAGAAUACCGAUGGUGAAGGCAAGCUUCUGGCCUAUAACUGACGCUGAGGUGCGAAAGUGUGGGGAUCAAACUG